UCUCAGUGAUGAGCAAAAAUGAUGACGAGUCUGAUCUUAUUCCAUUCUUUCUCCCGUGACGACAAAUCGAGGCAUUUGUCUGAGAGAA
RNAcentral lists this small nucleolar RNA (88 nucleotides) under Nelumbo nucifera (sacred lotus). Its description in RNAcentral is "Plant small nucleolar RNA SNOR75". It matches the Rfam family "Plant small nucleolar RNA SNOR75". Rfam says of the family: U15 is a member of the C/D class of snoRNA which contain the C (UGAUGA) and D (CUGA) box motifs. The record is from Rfam by way of RNAcentral. Lineage: Eukaryota; Viridiplantae; Streptophyta; Magnoliopsida; Proteales; Nelumbonaceae.